UCCAGACUCCUACGGGAGGCAGCAGUGGGGAAUAUUGCGCAAUGGGCGAAAGCCUGACGCAGCGACGCCGCGUGAGGGAUGAAGGUCUUCGGAUCGUAAACCUCUGUCAGCAGGGAAGAACGGUCACUGUGCUAAUCAGCAGUGAAUUGACGGUACCUGCAAAGGAAGCCCCGGCUAACUACGUGCCAGCAGCCGCGGUAAUACGUAGGGGGCAAGCGUUAUCCGGAUUUACUGGGUGUAAAGGGAGCGUAGACGGUGAAGCAAGUCUGAAGUGAAAGGCGGGGGCUCAACCCCCGGACUGCUUUGGAAACUGUUUGACUGGAGUGCAGGAGAGGUAAGUGGAAUUCCUAGUGUAGCGGUGAAAUGCGUAGAUAUACGGAGGAACACCAGUGGCGAAGGCGGCCUGCUGGACAUUAACUGACGCUGAGGCGCGAAAGCGUGGGGAGCAAACAGGAUUAGAUACCCCAGUAU
RNAcentral lists this ribosomal RNA (471 nucleotides) under uncultured bacterium. Its description in RNAcentral is "partial 16S ribosomal RNA". It matches the Rfam family "Bacterial small subunit ribosomal RNA", at positions 330 to 793 of the family's 1533-position model. The record is from RNAcentral.